CUUUCUCUCUCUCUCCCUCUCUCUUUCUCUCUCUCUCGCUUAACAGAAAACAAAAGAAAAAGUAAAAAAAUAAAAAUUUAAGGACUUUUAAAAGUCCUGUCGAUGCAGAUGCCCUAAGAGACCGUAUUUGGGGACACGUGUAGACAAAAGAGAGGAGAAGGAAGCUGAAGAACACGUUGUCGAUUUACCCUUCGCCGUCGGUACGGAUUCGAGCGGUGAGCUGUUUAACGAAGCGAACUGGGCUUCAGAUGUGAGUUAGGCGCGGAGAUCGCGGCAAGUGCGGCGGGAUUCCGGCAGAGAGAAGGAGGUAAUGUUGAGUUUGAUUAUGGUGACUCUGGGUACGAGAUUCUCGGUUGGAUCAAUGACCGUCUUCAUCUCAAUCCCUCUCGCAUCGAAGAGAGGGACUCUUCAUUCAGUUGAUCAGUACCUCAAUAUCAAGCUCGAGAACACUCGUGUUAUUGAUCAGAACAAGUUCCCUCACACGAGAGCAGAGCACCUGAGAUAUGUGGCUUCAUCACUGUGCUGACCGAACAAUUAUACUGCAUGGGACGAGGGAAGAGGAACAAGCUUUGUCUGGAACGUUGAGAUGGCAUAAAUCAGGGAAGAGCUUUAACCAAGAACAUCUAGUAAACUUGUACAGUCCUGAGUAUUAGCAAGCAAAGGUAAAACAGAUAACUUAAUCCAUCAUCAUCAUCAUCAUCUUUAUCUAUCUCUAGUGGGGGAACAAUCUAGUUGGUGUUGUGAUUGAUUGCUUUUGUUGCCAAGGCCAAGCCCUUAAUCAAACUACUCGACUUGUAAAGAUUUGUCACUGACUUUAAGAAUCAAACUGCUUGUGUCUAUAUAAAGUUGUAUGUAUCAAUUUUUUAUUCAAAAGACCAAAUUUUUUUUAAGAA
Long non-coding RNA from Raphanus sativus (radish), 893 nucleotides. RefSeq lists it as uncharacterized. The record is from RefSeq and is a predicted model, not a curated record. The transcript has 3 exons. NCBI's taxonomy places the organism in Eukaryota, Viridiplantae, Streptophyta, Magnoliopsida, Brassicales, Brassicaceae.